RNAcentral lists this ribosomal RNA (251 nucleotides) under uncultured prokaryote. RNAcentral's name for it is "partial 16S rRNA". It matches the Rfam family "Bacterial small subunit ribosomal RNA", at positions 525 to 775 of the family's 1533-position model. The record is from RNAcentral.
ACGUAGGAGGCAAACGUUAUCCGGAUUUACUGGGCGUAAAGCGCGUGUAGGUGGUUUGGUAAGUAGAGCGUGAAAGCUCCUGGCUCAACUGGGAGAGGUCGUUCUAAACUGCCGGACUAGAGGAUGGUAGAGGGAGGUGGAAUUCCGGGUGUAGCGGUGAAAUCCGCAAAUCUCCGGAGGAACACCUGUGGCGAAAGCGCCCUCCUGGACCAAACCUGACACUCAGACGCGAAAGCUAGGGUAGCAAACGG